Molecule: long non-coding RNA, 2888 nt
Filed under: Cairina moschata (Muscovy duck)
Lineage: Eukaryota; Metazoa; Chordata; Aves; Anseriformes; Anatidae
Description: domestica (muscovy Duck (domestic type)) lncRNA (ENSCMMG00000007200.1)
Source: RNAcentral
AUGGAGCUCCCUCCUAUCAGAAGGGCACCGAACACGCCACCCGUGCGGCUCUGCCCCCAAGGGGAAAGAAGAAGGGCGGCGGCGAGGGCCAAUAGCACCCUUCCCUCCGCCGCGCCACCGCCCUGCGGGACGCCCCCGGCCCCUCCAGCAGCGGUGGCGGGGGGCACGACGAGGCCUCCCCCGCGACCACCAGAGGGCGCCCGCCGCCGGCUCGGCCCCCGCCUGCCCCCUCCCCGCCGCCCGGGGCCGCACAACUUGAGCAAGUUUCCGUGGCUCGCCCCCGCACGCCGCGGCCCCCCGCCGCCCCUCGCCCGCCUCCCCGGUUUCUUCAUGCCGUGUUCCCCGCGGCUUCACCCCCGUUUUACCCGCAGCGGCGUCCAGCAGCGUCCCCUCUCCCUCGAUGCUGGUUCCGGGACGAGGCGGGGGACCCGACCACUUAUCCUUGGGGUACUCAGCCUCCUGACCUGGAAGUCUGGGACAACCAGGGGAUCAGGCCCAGUCAGCAUGGGUUCAUGAAAGGGUGAAUUGAUAUUCUGGGUGUGCACCAUCUUCCUUACCUGAAAUGCCAAUCUGCUUUCUGAGAAAAGAUAAAGGAAACCUGAAGGUUGGAAGAGAACCAUGACAUGAUUCAGUAUAUCUUCUUCUGCAGAACUGCAAAAGAACUUAAGAUAGAUAUUCAGGAAGAAAUUACUCUGUAUAACAGGUUCCUUUUAGCAUGUGUAUGUUAUAAUGAAAAAAUCACCCAAAGGCUAUACUCCUGAUGUUCUCUAUUAGACACUCUUCAUAGGAAAAAAAUGUAACAUAGGUAUAAUACUAAUAUUAUGUAAUCAUAUAAAAAUAUUUAUUUUUUUAUAUAAAAGUUAUUUUAAAAACUAAUUAAGAACCUUAUUCUGUCUCUCUCUCUCUCUAUAUAUAUAUAUAAAUAAAAUAAAAAAGAAAAAAAAAUAAAAAGAAAAAGACCUAACUCUAAGUGAUUAAUCUUUUAGUAUUUAUGUCAGCAAGAUUUUUUAUAUGUAUCUGAAUACAGGUACUUUUAAGAUCACAGUUUGCCAUCAGAAUGACUCAUAUGGGGCAUCAUUUUCUAAAACAGAUUGUCUUUAAGGCUGCUGAUGGCAAAUUAGGCCAUAAAGACCAGUACACUUGUACAGAACUGAAAUAGUAAAUCUGAUUGUGAUUGAAGAGGCAAGUCAUUGCAACAUUUGCAUGUAUUUUCUUAGUAGAAUUUUUAAAAUAAUUUGCUUGGAGACUUCUAAACUUAAAUCAAGCAUUACUUUUUUUUUUUUUUUUUUUUUUCCCAUAGAGAAUACGGUGUUGAAAUUUUGCAUGUAUUCAGUGAAAAUCUAAGCUAAUAUGUGCAUGCAGUGAUAUCAAAAUUAGAAAUUAAAAAUCUCAUUAAAAAUUAAGACAGACUUCUCUAGAGCAAUUGCUUGGCAGCUUGUAUUUCAUUAAAUACUAAACCUGUGCUCUCUUUAUUGAAAGUCAAUUUGCUUUUGUAAGUCAAUUUUGCUUUUUGCAUCCACCUUCCCCUAUUACAGCCUUCAUAAAAGAGUUUAAAAUAUACUAGAUUAUACAUAUAUAUUAUUGGGGAUGAAUAUUGAAUACAAAAUGAAAUUUUCAGUGUGAGAAACAAGUUUAAAAGCCUAUUCAGGAUUUUUUGUCCAAGUUAGCUCUUAGAAAAUGUUUGCAUAACACUUGACCGCAGUGAGAAUUACAAUAACAACAAAGUCCAGAAAUAUUUAGUAAAAUCAUUAUUCUUCUGACUACAGUAGUUUUAUUUUAUUAUAUAAUUUUCUUAACACCUCCAGUUAUACCAUCAUUUUGUCAUCUAAUAAAAAGUAAUCAACAAUAAUCAUCCAUCUUUCAUAUCACUUUAUAUCACUUAAAUUGCCUAAUUCCAUAAUAAACUUGUCGUUUGUGAUUGAGGCAGCAUAAUAUAUUUCUGUGUCAAAAGCUAGAUAUAUUAGGUGUUAAUGAAACUGUAUGAAUCAUAAUGAUAUAAUGUAAUUUACUCAAUAAAAUCAUUAAAGAAUUUUAAAUAAAAAAAAAAAGUUAUCAAUAUUUUUCCAUCAAAUAAAUUGGAAAUAUAUGUAUUUUAAUGGGACAGAACAUUCAUGAACUUAACGAUUGCUUGUGGGGAAAUUCACUUCUCUGUUGAAGUCCAGGUCUUGGAUGCUAAAUGCAAUUAACGUUAACUGCAUAUUGAAUUGUCUGGAUGGUUGAAUUUGAAUAGUUGUGGUCAAUGGUUCAAUGUCCAGCUGGAGAUCAGUGACAAGCGAUGUUUCUCAGGUAUCACUAUGGGGACCUCUAUUAUUUAUCAUCAUUGUCAGUGACAUGGACAGUGGGAUUGAAUCAGCAAGUUUGUGGACAACACUAAACUGUGUGGAGUGGCUGAUAUGUUGAAGGGAAGGGAUGCCAUUCAGAGGGAGCUGGACAGGCUUGGGAGGUGGGUGCAUGUGAACCUUAAGAAGUUCAGCAAGGCCAAGUGCAAGGUCCUGCAUAUGAGUCAGGGCAAUCCCAAACACGAAUACAGGCUGGGCAAUGAGUAGAUAGAGAACAGUACUGCAGAGAAGGACUUUGGGAUGCAAAACUGAACAUGAGCUGGCAAAGCGUGCUUGCAGCCCAGAAAGCCAAUUGUAUUCUGGGCUGCAUUAAAAGAACCAUAGCUAGCAGUGCAAGAGAGGUGAUUCUACUCAUUUACUCUGCCCUUGUGAGACCCCACUUGGAGUACUGCGUUAGGCUCUGGGACCCCCAACAUAAGAAAGACAUCGUUAUAGCGAGUCCAGAAGAAGGCCAUGAAGAUGAUCAAAGGGCUGUAGCACCUCUCCAAUGAAGAAAAGCUGAGAGAGUUGGAACAGAAGGCCCCAGGGAGACUUUAUAGUGUCCUUCUA